GACGAACGCUGGCGGCGUGCUUAACACAUGCAAGUCGAACGGAAAGGCCCUGCUUUUGUGGGGUGCUCGAGUGGCGAACGGGUGAGUAACACGUGAGUAACCUGCCCUUGACUUUGGGAUAACUUCAGGAAACUGGGGCUAAUACCGGAUAGGAGCUCCUGCUGCAUGGUGGGGGUUGGAAAGUUUCGGCGGUUGGGGAUGGACUCGCGGCUUAUCAGCUUGUUGGUGGGGUAGUGGCUUACCAAGGCUUUGACGGGUAGCCGGCCUGAGAGGGUGACCGGCCACAUUGGGACUGAGAUGCGGCACAGCCUCCUACGGGAGGCAGCAGUGGGGAAUAUUGCACAAUGGGCGGAAGCCUGAUGCAGCACCGCCGCGUGCGGGAUAACGGCCUUCGGGUUGUAAACCGCUUUCGCCUGUGACGAAGCGUGAGUGACGGUAAUGGGUAAAGAAGCACCGGCUAACUACGUG
This 468-nucleotide ribosomal RNA is filed under the name uncultured bacterium. RNAcentral's name for it is "partial 16S ribosomal RNA". It matches the Rfam family "Bacterial small subunit ribosomal RNA", at positions 28 to 507 of the family's 1533-position model. The record is from RNAcentral.